RNAcentral lists this ribosomal RNA (54 nucleotides) under uncultured bacterium. RNAcentral describes it as "partial 16S ribosomal RNA". The record is from RNAcentral.
GGUUCGGAAGAAAGAUGUGAAAUCCCAGAGCUUAACUUUGGAACUGCUUCUUUA